AGACGUAGGGACCGAGCGUUGUCCGGAUUUAUUGGGCGUAAAGAGCUCGUAGGCGGUUGCGUAAGUCGGAUGUGAAAACUCGGGGCUCAACCCCGAGACGCCAUCCGAUACUGCGCUGACUUGAAUCCAGUAGGGGAGUGUGGAAUUCCUGGUGUAGCGGUGAAAUGCGCAGAUAUCAGGAGGAACACCUAUGGCGAAGGCAGCACUCUGGGCUGGUAUUGACGCUGAGGAGCGAAAGCAUGGGUAGCAAACAGGAUUAGAAACCCCGGUAGUCC
This 275-nucleotide ribosomal RNA is filed under the name uncultured bacterium. RNAcentral's name for it is "partial 16S ribosomal RNA". It matches the Rfam family "Bacterial small subunit ribosomal RNA", at positions 523 to 796 of the family's 1533-position model. The record is from RNAcentral.